AGUCUAGCAGCCAGAGCAUGAAGGCCGUGCCCAGGAAGCGCGGGAAGAGCACGAGGCACGAGGCCGUCUGGGAGCAGAGCCUCAGGGAGUGAAGCAGCAGGGAGCGCAGCAUGGUGGCGGCGCCCCCCAAAGCCCCCCUACCUUCCCCCACCACCCACCGCGGGGCAGCCUGGCGAGACAUCUGGGCUUCGGCUGUUCGGAGAGCUCAAUUUAUAGCCGAGGCAUCAAUUGGCGGGAGACUCCACCUCCGGCCGGGGCCCGCCCCCUUGCAACUUGAGCCCGAAGGGAUCACCCCGCGGCGCGGCCAGGGCCUUAGAAAUCGCCGGCCGAGGGCGAGCACCAGCGGCUGGAAGGCGGGGCGGCCCGGCCCGGGGGCCGGAGGGGCGGGGCUGGGCCCCGAAGCCCGCUCGCCGGGACGGGCGAUCAGGACCUCGGUGGCGGCGCGGGUCAGACAGCUGGACCAGGGACCCGGGAGUCCGCGGCGGAGGUCCUCCGGCUAGCGCAGGCACCAAGCUGGCCCCGAUCCCGGCGUCCCAGCCCCGACCCGCGCGCGCCCCUCGCCGCGCACCUGAGCGGAGAUCCCCGGCGGACAGCCGCGCCGCGCCGGAGCUCCGGUUCGCUUCCCGCGCGCCGCCGCCAACGCCGCCCCCGCCGCUGCUGCUCGUGCGGGGCCGCUGCCCAGGUGCCGCCGGAGCCUGGGUCGGCGGCCGCCGCUUCGCUGGCCCCGGCUCCUGCCCCGCCGGGGACGCUGGCCCGCAAGGAGGCAACUUUGGGCCCCCGCCGCUUGCCGCGUUCGCCCGCGGGCGCCGCUCGCCUCCCGGAGCCCGCCCGCCUCCCGCGCGCGCUCACACUCGCGCCUCGCACACAGCCGCCCCCCGCACCGCCCCGCCACGCACACCGCGCUCGGCGCCCCCCGCCGUCGCCCGAGGCUGCCGCGCGCCGCGCGGGUCACGCCCGCCCCGUCCCAUCGCGCCCCGGCUCUGCGCCGCAGCUCUCGGGUCAGCGGCCUCCGGGUCCCGGCGGGGAGGUGCGGAGGGCAGGGCUAGCGGGAGGGUUGGCGACCGGCGCCAGAAACGCGGAGGCCCGGGGAAGGCAGCGCCGUCCUUGCGCCCUAGCCGAGCCGGGAGCGCUCUGGGCGCUGGGCGCGGCGGGCGCGGGGCGGCGGGCGCGGGGCGGCGGCGGCCCCGGGCGGCUCUCCCACUAGGGGUAGCUGUUGCCUGAAUGCCGGAGCGCUCCCCUCUCGCCGCUCGCCUCGGCCGGCGCAGCCCCGGCCGCCGGGCGCACCCGUCCCGUGCGUCCCCGGACGUCGCUCUCUGCCCCGGGAACGUCGGGACUGGAGCGCCCGCGCUGAGCCACCUUCACCGACCCAGAGCGCUGCGGCUCGACUCACCACGGAGGCGCUGGGACGCGGGGAAGUGCGUACUCUCAACGGGGAAUGUGUGUGGAGGCUUUUAGGGGUGCGGGGUAACUCCCCAACUCCAUGGGGGCCCUGGUCGGCUCUGCCGCCGCGUCCGAGAUCUGAUGACUCGCUGCGCGCGGCGCGGGGUCGGCGACUUGGGGCGGCGGGGCGCAGAGUACCGUGACCUGGGGGGUCCCCGAAGCUGGGAGCCAGGUCGCCUCGCCUCGGGCCUCCUUGACCCCUGGGGCGAGGCCUGAACCGGGUCGAGAGCGAUCUUGAUGCCGGGGGAGUCCAGCCCGCCUGGGACGCUCUCGCGGUCGUGGGGACUCGUCUGGGGCGGCGGUGGCUGAGCCCGAGUCCGGCGCCGCCACCGCCGGCGUCCCGUGCGCUCG
RNAcentral lists this long non-coding RNA (1791 nucleotides) under Bos grunniens (domestic yak). RNAcentral describes it as "lncRNA (ENSBGRG00000011625.1)". The stretch from base 1274 to 1347 matches the Rfam family "mir-1247 microRNA precursor family". Lineage: Eukaryota; Metazoa; Chordata; Mammalia; Artiodactyla; Bovidae. The record is from RNAcentral.